Molecule: long non-coding RNA, 463 nt
Organism: Patella vulgata (common limpet)
Lineage: Eukaryota; Metazoa; Mollusca; Gastropoda; Patellidae
Exons: 3
Source: RefSeq, a predicted model, not a curated record
CAAAGGAAAGGCACAAUUACAUUUAAAGACAAUAUGGGGAAAGGAUCAAUAAUCGGUUUUGCUCUAUUUUUGUGUUCUCUCACAAUAGUCACCAGCCAGUCUCCAUUUAAUGACCCGUGUACUAUUAUGCCAAGAGGAUCUGCUGGGGAGGAUACAGUACUGGAUGUGUUUGCAAACGAUGCCUGUACCAAUGGUAGUCUCUGGUGGAAUUAUCCCCGAGGAUCUUUACGUGUUCACUUUAGAUCUUCAGAUGAAACAAAACAAUUCAAAGUUUGUUUGAGUGAAGAUGUCGGGAUUUCUUUUAGAUCUGUAUUUGACAUCACAAAUGGUGGUCAUAGACCUUUACAAGUUUCACAAGAAAGAGAAGUAGAAACGUGUACAGAUACAGUCGCUCCAGAAAUCAUUCUGCUUAUAAAAUCCCCAACUUUCUUAACUUACAUGACCUUACACAAAUAUCGACUGG